GGUUAUGUCCUCUCAAAAUUCAUGUGCUGAAAUCUAAUCUCCAAGGUGAUGGUAUUAGAAUGUGGAACAUUUGGGAAGUGAUUAUGUCAUGAGGGUGGGAUGGGAUUAGUGUCCUUAUAAAAGAGGCCCCAGAGAGUUCCAUCAUCCUUUCCAUCAUGUGACAACACAGUGAGAAAAUGGCUGCCUGUGAACCAGGAAGUAGGCCCUCAGCAGACAAGGAAUCUCCUAGCACCUUGAUCUUGGACUUCCCAGCCUCCAGAACUCUGAUGGACUGCUCACAAUUCCCUGAGGCAACGCUAUUAUAUCAAAAAUGAGGUUGUGAGAGCUAACUGAUUCAUUCAAAAUCAAGUUAAAGGCAGAGCUGGAAUUGAAGGAGUUGUUCUUAAGCAUUCUAAACGAAGUGAGAGUAGCUGUCUAUCUCCUGUAGUGCUAUGUAUUUCCAGUCAUCAUCCAGAACAACAA
Homo sapiens (human) is the source of this 462-nucleotide long non-coding RNA. RefSeq lists it as uncharacterized. The transcript has 3 exons. Lineage: Eukaryota; Metazoa; Chordata; Mammalia; Primates; Hominidae. The record is from RefSeq and is a predicted model, not a curated record.